AGAGGUAUUAGUAAAAUUUACAUGGCCUUGUCAAGGUUAAAUUAUAGGUGAAAACCCUAUAUACCUC
Molecule: transfer RNA, 67 nt
Filed under: Camelidae sp. PDM-2021
Lineage: Eukaryota; Metazoa; Chordata; Mammalia; Artiodactyla; Camelidae
Description: tRNA-Asp
Rfam family: tRNA
About the family: Transfer RNA (tRNA) molecules are approximately 80 nucleotides in length.
Source: RNAcentral